CUGGGAUAAGAGAGGAACCAAGAAUCACAAUUGCUAGGUUUCAAAGUGGACUCAACUUUGACAUAAGAGAUAAGGUAGAACUUUUACCUUAUAAUGAUCUCAAUGAGUUAGUCCAACUUUGUGUUAGAGUAGAGCAACAAUUGAAGAGGAAAACUCCCUCUAAAACGGACUAUUCUGAUUCUUCCUACCCUAGGAAAGAAUCUAAGAGGGAGGGUGAACCUUCCAAAUCAAAAGAAGAGGGACCAAGGGAAAAGGAAAAAGAAAAAUAUCCCUCUAAAGAAUCUUCAAAAAAUGAUAGGGUAAAAGAGACCAAGUGUUUUAGAUGUGGUUAUAAAGGGCACUAUUCUUCUGAGUGUCCUAACAAAAGGUCUACUUAUAUCCUAGAACAUCAAAAUAAAGAUGAAGAUUCUUCUAGUGAUUCAAAAACUUCCAUAUCUGAGGAAGAAGCCUUACCUUGUGAAGGAGAGUUGUUAUUGGUGAGAAGANUUCUUGGAAGUCAACAUAUAGAAUUAGAACAAUCNNAAAGGGAGAAUCUAUUCCACACAAGAUGCAAAGUUUUUGAAAAUACAUGUUCAUUGAUUGUGGAUAGUGGAUCAUCUUGUAAUUGUUGUAGUUCUAGAAUGGUGGAAAAAUUGGCCUUAACUANUAUUCCUCAUCCCAAGCCUUACAAGCUUCAAUGGAUAAAAGAGGAUGAAGAAAUAGUAGUCAACACACAAGUAAACAUACCUAUCUCCAUUGGAAACUAUGAAGAAAAUAUUUUAUGUGAUGUUGUGCCAAUGGAUGCUGGGCAUGUUCUACUAGGAAGGCCAUGGCAAUAUGAUCAUAACUCCAUUCAUGAUGGCUACACCAAUAAGAUAACUUUUCUCCACAAAGGAAGUAAAAUAACUUUGAUUCCUCUUACACCUCAACAAGUGAAAGAGGAUGAAAUAAAGAUAAAAAUGAAAAUUGAAAAAGAAAGAAAAGAGGAAGAAAGGUUGGAUAAACAACCUUCUAAAAGAGAAAAGGGAAAGAAGAAGAAGGUAUGCAUGCUUUUAAAUUCUUCACCCAAAGGUAAAUACCUUGAAUCUUCUUAUCAAAAAAGUCACUUUGAAGGGGAGUGUUCAAAACAAAGUGAAAAUAAAAUAAAGGCCAAGGAUACUUCUAAGAAAAUUUUUUUCAAAAGGCCUUCAUUCUGUAUUCUUUUCUUUGGAUACAUCCUUUUAAUAAUUGAUGAGUGCAUAUUUAUGUCUACAUUUAUGCUUUAAAAUUAAAAUUUUUGAUAGAAUAUUUGUGCUUAAAUGAUUGAUUUGUAGAGGAUUUGUGAUUAUUAGAUUUAGCGCUUUUGGAAUUAAAGAGGCUUAAAAAGUGAUUUUAAUUGCAUAAAUUAUUCUUGGAUAUUCUAAUAUUUAUUUGUGCAGCUGAAAUUAGAGUUUUAUUGGUCCAAAUUGCAAUUUAAAGCCCAAAAUCAGAUUUUAUUUGAUAAAUAGUGUCCAGAUGGGCUAAAGAAGCAGUUUUUACCCUUGCACCUCCCAAAAUUCCCUAUAUGCACCCCUCUCUCCUAAACCAGGCUAACAACCAAGCCCAGACUAAGCCUUUUCUCUCCUGUAAUCCCUAAUUUCCUAUACACACCUCUCUUACCACUAAUUAAACCAGAUUACAUCACAUUUAGCCACAUGGCAGUCCACUACUAAUAGAUCCAACCACCCAGAUAAUGCCACGUCACUGAUCCUACUACNCACCAAAUACACCACUCAGAACAUGCCACCUAGCCCCUCUUGCCACGUCAUCACCAUCCCCAACAGAAACCCUAAUUCCUNACCAGAAACCCUAGCCGCCGUCAGGUAUCCUAGCCGCCGCACCAGAUCCGCCAGCUUCUCGACGCGUCACCUUCUUCCAUCAUCAUCGCGCCAUCCAUGAAGACGCCUCGACCUCCAUGACGCGCCACCUUCUUCCUCGACGCCGUCACCAUGCCGCAGUUUAGCAAGCCUCGCAGAUUCGAACCUUCUUCGAAUCUGGAUCAUCUUCAUCACCAUAACCACCGAAAGCAAGCCGCCGGCAGCCACCAUUGAAUCGCACAUCAACACCAUCUUCUUCCUCGAAAUCGCGCCACGAAACCCUUCGUUCAUCUUCUCAUUGUCUCACCAUGUCUUCGCAACCUGCAGAAAACUCAGAAAAACCAGAGAACCCAAAAAUCGCAUCACCUUCAUCUUCUUCGCACCUUGCCUUCCACAAGCCAUCCUCGCCGGAGCACUAGUCACCGUCAGUCGCCCAACGCCAUUGAACAGCAACCACCUUCAUCUUCUUCGCAAUGCCACCAAUUGCAAAACCUAGAAGCGAGUUCUCAACAGUAAUCGCAAAAUACGAAUCCCAUCAGCCCUAGAAUCGCGAUUCCUUCGUCCUCUGUCACCAAGCGUAAUUCGAUCUCCUUCCAAACCUGCAUCAAAACCAGACCUGCACAGAAAAACCAAAAUCACACCAUAGCCACCGCGCCUCCAAAGAGUGAAACCUCUCUCCCAAUCUCGCGCAGCAGGCGAAGAUAGAAUGGAGCCCCCAAAUCCCUUUACCCCCAAUCCGAAACCCUAAUUUUGGGUGGGGAAGGAAAGAACACGUGGCAGCAUUCCAUUAACACAUCCAUUUGAUUAAACCUGGUCAAAGUCUGGUCAACUGAGGGGUUCUGUUGCAAUUUUGAAGAAUUCUGGAGGGACUAAAGUGCAGAUAUAGGAANCUUCAGGAUAUUUGUGCAAUUUUGGAAAUUCAGAAAAGUUUAAAGAUAAAAUUCAGUAAUUNAUUUAAUUUGGGAAUAUUAACAGAAAAUAUUUUCCAAAUAANGUUAUAAUUAUCUAAAUCUUUUAGUUAUUUGGAAGAUAUAAGAUAAGAGAUUUGAUCAACUGAAUAUUUAGAGUCCAAGCCCAAUCAAGCCCUAUAUAAAGAGACCCAGGGGAGACACAAAGGACAGCAUUCAUUCAUCCAUUCAUCCACCACUGCUUUCAC
Molecule: long non-coding RNA, 2970 nt
Filed under: Vigna radiata
Lineage: Eukaryota; Viridiplantae; Streptophyta; Magnoliopsida; Fabales; Fabaceae
Description: long non-coding RNA (VRAD_LNC012694)
Source: RNAcentral